CUUACCAUUUAUUUGCUGGUAUAGUCUCACGAUGAUCUGACCAGUUAUACUCACGGAAAAAAUAAUAUUGGACCAUUGUAAAUUGACAUGAAAUAACUAGUGUUUUCAUCUCUUCUGCAUGGACUAGUUGCUG
Callithrix jacchus (white-tufted-ear marmoset) is the source of this 133-nucleotide small nucleolar RNA. NCBI's taxonomy places the organism in Eukaryota, Metazoa, Chordata, Mammalia, Primates, Cebidae. The record is from Ensembl.